GUACGUGAAACCGUUCAGGGGUAAACGGGAGAAAUCCUGAAUUCGAAGGGGAUUGGAUUCAAGUCUGACCGGAUGUACAGGCCUCGCUCUGCCAGAUGGUGCUGGUCGCCCACGGUGAUUCAUUUCGCUUGUGGUGUCGUUCCUGGCAAUCACUCGGUGGGGUGUUGAUUGUUCUGGCUCCGGAGGAGUGCACUUCCUCCCUUGUAGAAACGUCGCGACCCGUUGGGUGCCUGUCUAAGGCCUGGGAUGGCAGACCAUGUGUCCUGUGCGGUCACUCACAGGCACGUGGACUCCUGGUGACCUGGCUGGCUGCUCGACGGUAUGACCAGAGGAGUCGAUCCGCUGAAAAGGAAACACUGUGGUUGUGUAGCGUCCGGCCCGACGCUGACAUGUGCGGGAAUGUGGUGUAAACCGGGGGUGUUCGUGCAGAAGCACGAGCCCGGUCCCGUCACAUUGUUGGAUCUGUCGGAGUCCUCGGACAGGAUCAGUACUCCCGUCGGCGACGCCCACCUUCGGAUGG
Molecule: ribosomal RNA, 520 nt
Filed under: Onchestus rentzi
Lineage: Eukaryota; Metazoa; Arthropoda; Insecta; Phasmatodea; Phasmatidae
Description: eukaryotic LSU rRNA
Source: RNAcentral